CCUACGGGUGGCAGCAGUGGGGAAUAUUGCGCAAUGGGCGCAAGCCUGACCCAGCAACGCCGCGUGAAGGAUGAAGGUUUUCGGGUCGUAAACUUCUUUCAACAGGGAAGAGCAGUAACCGUUAUCUCUUGCAUAAGCUACGGCUAACUACGUGCCAGCAGCCGCGGUAAUACGUAGGCGGCAAGCGUUGUCCGGAUUUACUGGGUGUAAUGGGCGUGCAGUCGGGAAGACAAGUCAGUUGUGAAAUCCCGCGGCUCAACCGCGGAACUGCAUUUGAAACUGUUUUUCUUGAGGACCGGAGAGGUCAUCGGAAUUCCAGGUGUAGCGGUGAAAUGCGUAGAUAUAAGGAAGAACACCAGUGGCGAAGGCGGAUGACUGGACGGCAACUGACGGUGAGGCGCGAAAGCGUGGGGAGCAAACAGGAUUAGAUACCCGAGUAGUC
RNAcentral lists this ribosomal RNA (442 nucleotides) under uncultured bacterium. RNAcentral describes it as "partial 16S ribosomal RNA". It matches the Rfam family "Bacterial small subunit ribosomal RNA", at positions 338 to 795 of the family's 1533-position model. The record is from RNAcentral.